This 553-nucleotide long non-coding RNA is filed under the name Panax ginseng (ginseng). Its description in RNAcentral is "long non-coding RNA (PGIN_LNC000738)". The record is from RNAcentral. Lineage: Eukaryota; Viridiplantae; Streptophyta; Magnoliopsida; Apiales; Araliaceae.
GUUAGCCGAUGACAAGUAAACCCAUCGAAGCAACCUUCCCCGGCGAGGGCCACAACGCAAUGCUACCAUUGACACAUACAUCAAUGAAGGUCAAGUAACCUUGACAAUGCAUCCAGCAGGGAUUUAUCCGGUGAUACACACAUCAGCGAAGAUCAGGCAACCCUGAUAACAACAAAACUGUUGGCAGUAACUCCGACAGAAUGAGGGAAUAGGUUAUACACAUCCUCAAAUAGACGAAGCUUUAUCCCCACAGAUCUCUUACACAUAAGAGGUACCUCUAUGGAAUAUAAGCCAGUGUCUAGGAUUCAAGACUUUGGUGAUAGCCCCAACGUCAACAUCCUUGGAAACUUGGAUCGCAUGUCCAAGCCAUCGCUGAUUGUCAUCCCAACAGGAUUACUUGACAAUCAUUCAUGCAUUCUACAUGAAUUUGCAUCAUGUUGCUGCAUAUAGCAUCAUGUUUAUCUUGCUUGCAUUUCAAGUGUCUAGGAUUCUUUAUCUUAUCCAUGCCUUGCAUUGCAUGAAUAUGAUAAAGGGGGGCAUCUGUAGACACUCG